Molecule: transfer RNA, 77 nt
Filed under: bacterium
Lineage: Bacteria
Description: tRNA-Val
Rfam family: tRNA
About the family: Transfer RNA (tRNA) molecules are approximately 80 nucleotides in length. Their secondary structure includes four short double-helical elements and three loops (D, anti-codon, and T loops).
Source: RNAcentral
GGGCGGUUAGCUCAGUUGGCUAGAGCGUUGCAUUGACAUUGCAAAGGUCACAAGUUCGAGUCUUGUACCGCCCACCA